RNAcentral lists this ribosomal RNA (1133 nucleotides) under Dothidotthia negundinicola. RNAcentral's name for it is "SSU rRNA". It matches the Rfam family "Eukaryotic small subunit ribosomal RNA", at positions 20 to 1162 of the family's 1831-position model. The record is from RNAcentral. Lineage: Eukaryota; Fungi; Ascomycota; Dothideomycetes; Pleosporales; Dothidotthiaceae.
GUAGUCAUAUGCUUGUCUCAAAGAUUAAGCCAUGCAUGUCUAAGUAUAAGCAAUUAUACCGUGAAACUGCGAAUGGCUCAUUAAAUCAGUUAUCGUUUAUUUGAUAGUACCUUACUACUUGGAUAACCGUGGUAAUUCUAGAGCUAAUACAUGCUGAAAACCCCAACUUCGGGAGGGGUGUAUUUAUUAGAUAAAAAACCAACGCCCUUCGGGGCUUCUUGGUGAUUCAUGAUAACUUCACGGAUCGCAUGGCCUUGCGCCGGCGACGGUUCAUUCAAAUUUCUGCCCUAUCAACUUUCGAUGGUAAGGUAUUGGCUUACCAUGGUUUCAACGGGUAACGGGGAAUUAGGGUUCGAUUCCGGAGAGGGAGCCUGAGAAACGGCUACCACAUCCAAGGAAGGCAGCAGGCGCGCAAAUUACCCAAUCCCGACACGGGGAGGUAGUGACAAUAAAUACUGAUACAGGGCUCUUUUGGGUCUUGUAAUUGGAAUGAGUACAAUUUAAACCUCUUAACGAGGAACAAUUGGAGGGCAAGUCUGGUGCCAGCAGCCGCGGUAAUUCCAGCUCCAAUAGCGUAUAUUAAAGUUGUUGCAGUUAAAAAGCUCGUAGUUGAAACUUGGGUCUGGCUGGCAGGUCCGCCUCACCGCGUGUACUUGUCCGGCCGGGCCUUUCCUUCUGGAGAACCUCAUGCCCUUCACUGGGCGUGUUGGGGAACCAGGACUUUUACUUUGAAAAAAUUAGAGUGUUCAAAGCAGGCCUUUGCUCGAAUACGUUAGCAUGGAAUAAUAGAAUAGGACGUGCGGUCCUAUUUUGUUGGUUUCUAGGACCGCCGUAAUGAUUAAUAGGGACAGUCGGGGGCAUCAGUAUUCAAUUGUCAGAGGUGAAAUUCUUGGAUUUAUUGAAGACUAACUACUGCGAAAGCAUUUGCCAAGGAUGUUUUCAUUAAUCAGUGAACGAAAGUUAGGGGAUCGAAGACGAUCAGAUACCGUCGUAGUCUUAACCGUAAACUAUGCCGACUAGGGAUCGGGCGAUGUUCUUUUUCUGACUCGCUCGGCACCUUACGAGAAAUCAAAGUUUUUGGGUUCUGGGGGGAGUAUGGUCGCAAGGCUGAAACUUAAAGGAAUUGACGGAAG